GACGAACGCUGGCGGCGUGCCUAAUGCAUGCAAGUAGAACGCUGAAGAGAGGGGCUUGCUCUUCUUGGAUGAGUUGCGAACGGGUGAGUAACGCGUAGGUAACCUGCCUUGUAGCGGGGGAUAACUAUUGGAAACGAUAGCUAAUACCGCAUAACAAUGGAUGACACAUGUCAUUUAUUUGAAAGGGGCAAUUGCUCCACUACAAGAUGGACCUGCGUUGUAUUAGCUAGUAGGUGAGGUAAUGGCUCACCUAGGCGACGAUACAUAGCCGACCUGAGAGGGUGGUCGGCCACACUGGGACUGGGACACGGCCCCGGCUCCUACGGGGGGCAGCAGUAGGGGAUCUUCGGCAAUGGGGGCAACCCUGACCGCGCAACGCCGCGUGAGUGAAGGAGGUUUUCGGAUCGUGAAGCUCUGUUGUAAGUCAAGAACGGGUGUGAGAGUGGAAAGUUCACACUGUGACGGUAGCUUACCAGAAAGGGACGGCUAACUACGUG
RNAcentral lists this ribosomal RNA (497 nucleotides) under uncultured bacterium. Its description in RNAcentral is "partial 16S ribosomal RNA". It matches the Rfam family "Bacterial small subunit ribosomal RNA", at positions 28 to 507 of the family's 1533-position model. The record is from RNAcentral.